CCUGGUGGCUCAGAUGGUAAAGCAUCUGCCUACAAUGUAGAAGAUCCGGGUUCAAUCCCUGGGUCAGGA
RNAcentral lists this transfer RNA (69 nucleotides) under Bos taurus (domestic cattle). It matches the Rfam family "tRNA". From Rfam's summary of the family: Transfer RNA (tRNA) molecules are approximately 80 nucleotides in length. Their secondary structure includes four short double-helical elements and three loops (D, anti-codon, and T loops). RNAcentral also lists the same sequence under 5 other names. Lineage: Eukaryota; Metazoa; Chordata; Mammalia; Artiodactyla; Bovidae. The record is from Rfam by way of RNAcentral.